RNAcentral lists this ribosomal RNA (253 nucleotides) under uncultured bacterium. RNAcentral's name for it is "partial 16S ribosomal RNA". It matches the Rfam family "Bacterial small subunit ribosomal RNA", at positions 524 to 776 of the family's 1533-position model. The record is from RNAcentral.
UACGUAGGGUGCAAGCGUUGUCCGGAAUUAUUGGGCGUAAAGAGCUCGUAGGCGGUCUGUCGCGUCUGCUGUGAAAACUCGGGGCUUAACCCCGGGCCUGCAGUGGGUACGGGCAGACUAGAGUGCGGUAGGGGAGACUGGAAUUCCUGGUGUAGCGGUGAAAUGCGCAGAUAUCAGGAGGAACACCGGUGGCGAAGGCGGGUCUCUGGGACGUAACUGACGCUGAGGAGCGAAAGCAUGGGGAGCGAACAGG